RNAcentral lists this ribosomal RNA (498 nucleotides) under uncultured bacterium. Its description in RNAcentral is "partial 16S ribosomal RNA". It matches the Rfam family "Bacterial small subunit ribosomal RNA", at positions 28 to 507 of the family's 1533-position model. The record is from RNAcentral.
GACGAACGCUGGCGGCGUGCCUAAUACAUGCAAGUCGAACGAGAGCAACCGGUGCUUGCACUGGUCAAUCUAGUGGCGCACGGGUGAGUAACACGUGGGUAACCUGCCCAUCAGAGGGGGAUAACAUCCGGAAACGGAUGCUAAAACCGCAUAGGUCUUCGAACCGCAUGGUUUGAAGAGGAAAAGAGGCGCAAGCUUCUGCUGAUGGAUGGACCCGCGGUGCAUUAGCUAGUUGGUGAGGUAACGGCUCACCAAGGCCGUGAUGCAUAGCCGACCUGAGGGGCUGAUCGGCCACAUUGGGACUUAGACACGGCCCAAACUCCUACGGGAGGCAGCAGUAGGGAAUCUUCCGCAAUGGACGCAAGUCUGACGGAGCAACGCCGCGUGAGUGAAGAAGGUUUUCGGAUCGUAAAACUCUGUUGAUAGAGAAGAACAAGUGCUAGAGUAACUGUUAGCGCCUUGACGGUAUCUAACCAGAAAGCCACGGCUAACUACGUG